GUCUCGUUCGUAUGAACUCAUGAUUUAAAUAUUACCGAAAAUACUGAACAAUUUCAGUUCUAUAUAUGAAUUGUGGUGUUCUAACAUCAUUCUAAAGAAUCAUAUUUCUCUUUACAGACACUGUCUACUUUUAAAAGUCCAGAUAUACAUUCUCGGUACAAGAUUGUGAGAGAAUUCAAAUGAUCCUGGUCAUCUUCCAUUAAAAUAUUUCAAACUGAAGAAUCAAAUGAUGGCAAAGUCUUUCAAAUCGAGUAUCCUUUUAUUAAACUGGAAUUCAAACCCAAAAGUUGGAUAAAGAUUCUUGCAGAAAUGAUUCCGCCUUCCUUCCACAUUACAGUAUGCAUCAUGUAAAAAGGAUGUCAUAUAUUCCGCCUUCCUUCCACAUUACAGUAUGCAUCAUGUAAAAAGGAUGUCAUAUAUUACGCCACCCUCCCACAGUGCAGUAUACACGAAGUGAAUACGACGCCAUAUAAAUAUAU
This is a long non-coding RNA of Danaus plexippus (monarch butterfly), 479 nucleotides long. RefSeq lists it as uncharacterized. NCBI's taxonomy places the organism in Eukaryota, Metazoa, Arthropoda, Insecta, Lepidoptera, Nymphalidae. The record is from RefSeq and is a predicted model, not a curated record. The transcript is spliced from 7 exons.